GGGCAACCUUGGAGAAGAUCAGAAUUUCCCUAUCGUUUUAUGGUUGACAGCAGUGAAAACUUGUCAGGACCCUUGGAAUAAAUUCGCAACCUGCUAUCUUCCAUGCACACAUCCAUAAUUGUUGAAAGAACCUAGCCCUAGAAACUGGAUAUUCAUCCUAGUCAUCCGCUCUAAAGUAUAAAGUAUGAAAAAGAAUAUAUUCCCUUCGCAAACAUUAAAUUCAUUUUUCA
Molecule: unclassified non-coding RNA, 230 nt
Filed under: Hevea brasiliensis (rubber tree)
Lineage: Eukaryota; Viridiplantae; Streptophyta; Magnoliopsida; Malpighiales; Euphorbiaceae
Source: RNAcentral